UGCAGUUCUUAUUCCGAGUGUUCUGCCGCCUGCGCCCUGGAAUCCCAGUGCUGGCUCUGCACGGCAAACAGCAGCAGAUGAAGAGGAUGGAGGUUUACAACGACUUCAUCCGCAAGAAGGCAGCCGUGCUGUUUGCAACUGACAUAGCAGCCAGGGGCCUUGAUUUUCCCGUGGUGAACUGGGUUUUGCAGUUUGAUUGUCCAGAAGACGCUAAUACCUACAUCCACAGAGUGGGGAGAACAGCCAGGUAU
Molecule: long non-coding RNA, 251 nt
Organism: Polyodon spathula (Mississippi paddlefish)
Lineage: Eukaryota; Metazoa; Chordata; Actinopteri; Acipenseriformes; Polyodontidae
Exons: 2
Source: RefSeq, a predicted model, not a curated record